CCUUAUCUUCAACGAGUGUCGUGGAAUUUGGUGUGGUAGUGUCGAUACCAAACCGAGAGGAUAAACUCGCUCUCUUUAUCUUUUCUUCUUCUUUAUCCUUCGUUCUUCUUUUUCUUCUUCUCUUUCGUUCUUCUCAUGUUCCUCUUCUUCUGCGAGUUCGAGUGAUGAAUUUCAUAGCAUGUUUGAGAGUUCUUGAUUGAUGAAACUAUUCUGAUGAUGAAGGAUGUAUUGUUGAUGUUGUGAUCGUUUGAUCCGAGGAGAAGAUGGGGUUGACACUGUUGUAGUUGAAGCUAGGGUUCGAGUGGAGAUUCAUAUGAAGAACUGGAAGAUGAAAUCGAGGGUUUAAGUGACGGAUUAAAGAUAGGUUUUUGAUUGAUUUGAAGUAUUGAAGUUGGUUCAGUGAAGAAUCGAAGAGACAUGGUUUCUGUUCUUCAAGAAAUAGAGGAUUAGGGUUUUGGGUUCGAUUUUAGGCUUGCAUGGGAUUGAUAGAUGAAUUGAGGACUGGGUUUAGAUGAUUGAGGAAUGGGAUGGAGUUAAUUGGUUGAUAUGAGCUAUUCGUGAAGAAUUGGAGAAAUUAGAGUUUAUGUUCUGUUCUUCCCCAAAUUAAGAACUAGGGUUUUGAGAAUUGAAUAGAUGGUUUAGAAAGGAGAUGGGGUUGUAUUGAUUUGUUGGAAUCAGAAGAAAGAAGGGGUUGGUUUCAAAUUGAUUGAGACAAGUUGUUUUGAGAUUUAUGUGUAUGAAACUGAAGGAGGAAUCAUUACACUGGACUGGUGAUUAAGACAGUGAAGAGCUGGAGAUGUUGGAUAUGAAAUGGAAUUACAGUUGUAUCUUGUUGAACUGGUGGUGCUUAAAUGGUUAAGAUGGACAUGGUGAUGUUGAUGUGAGAAUUUAUGAAGUUAGGGUUGAAUCUCUGGUUUUAGUGUGUUGGUGUGAAGUAGUGACCUUGCAGAACAGUAAAUGGUGAUGAUACUAUUUGGUGGAGUGAAAGAUGAGAACUGGAAUGGUGGUGAUGAUUGUGUUAGUUUUGAUAUGUGGAUUGCAAGUGGCUGCAUCUGAUGAUGGGUAUUGGAUGUGAGUAUGUAUGUCAAUGGAGGAGGAUGAAUUGAUCUCACAGAAUGAGAUGUUGCAGAGAAUGUGUGUGUUAUCUGUGUUUUGAAUUAGCUGAGUUAUUGUGGUUGAGUUAUGGGAAUCACAGGGAUGAGUAUAAAAUGGAUAAGUUAUAUGUGAGUUGCGGUUAAUGAGUUUGGUAGUGAUGUUGUUUAUCUAAUAAGAAGGUUGUUGAAGUGUAGAUAAGAAGAGGAAUCUGAAUUAGUUUAUGUUGAAUUGAAUCUCUUCAAUGGAAGCUUGCUUCUGCUACUUAAAGGUAAGCUGAAUUUGUAUUUGAGAAUGAAUUAUGAAGUUGUAUUGAAUUUAUACAAUUGUAUUUGUAUGAUUAGUAUCUGUAAUGAUCAGAUGAAGUUGUUUUGAGUAGAUUGAAGUUGAACUUGA
This is a long non-coding RNA of Papaver somniferum (opium poppy), 1488 nucleotides long. RefSeq lists it as uncharacterized. The transcript is spliced from 2 exons. NCBI's taxonomy places the organism in Eukaryota, Viridiplantae, Streptophyta, Magnoliopsida, Ranunculales, Papaveraceae. The record is from RefSeq and is a predicted model, not a curated record.